This 1183-nucleotide long non-coding RNA is filed under the name Strigops habroptila (Kakapo). Its description in RNAcentral is "lncRNA (ENSSHBG00005016181.1)". Lineage: Eukaryota; Metazoa; Chordata; Aves; Psittaciformes; Psittacidae. The record is from RNAcentral.
UACUAACUUACAGUUCUGGAUCCAUGCUCUGAAAGGGAGUGCAGAUAAGAUAUAAACAUGCCUGGGUUCAGCUUUACACAGGGGAAAGGAGAAGCGAUUUUGCUGGCAGAAGGGAAGCACCAGGGAAAUGCUUCUUGAAGAGCAGCUGUCUGGUAGUGAAUGACCCUUAUGAAACAGUCUCCGGAUGGUCUGAGGUCCCCCCACUGCACCUGUGUACUGGGAGUGGGAAGGGCAGGUGCUGCCAGCCACCUCUCCUAAAAUAUGCUACUUGAACCCCGCAGCAUGACUGACACAGAGAGCAAAUGAAAGGCAAAAGAACACGCACACACCCAGCAGUGCUUCAACUGCCAAGAGCAGCCAUUGAGCUGCAGGUUAUCAAGCUGACAGCAGAUCCCCAAACCUCAUCUGCUAUACCACUCACAAGAGAAAGGAAUUCAUAUCAAGAAGUCUCAUUCUUCACACCCUGUCCCUAUACACUGUACUACCUAGAGCCUAUAUUGUCAGCCUUCCUUCUCAUCCAUUUUUCCCUUUGCUUUCAGAAGUAGCAGUCAAUUGCUGCUAAACCCUCAAACCCAGCACCAGCACACUCCACCUAACUCUCUCCUUACUUUCUUGAAUUGUUACUCAAACGGGUAAUGCAGAAGCAAACCCCAGAGCAUACAGGUGCCCAGGUACAGUGCUUUUCCCCCUCCAUGAGUUUUGAGCCAGGACACUUAAGGACAGACAAAAACUUUUGGGAAGGAAAUAGAGGAAAUAACUGUUCCAAACGGAAGUCUGAACAAACUGUUAUAGUUCAGAGAACUGUAAGGAAAUAACAUUCCUAGAUUGUUCUUUUUUAAGGAAUGAAAGAGUAUCUAUGUUUCUUUUCAGUCACUUUCUCAUUUUCGGAACUACAUUACACAGCUACAUCUUCCUUAUUCUGAUACAUGUCAGCAGGUACACUGUAAGUCAUUUAGAGAUACCGUAAUUCAGUUAACUACAAAGCUUCCAUGUUUUAUCAGAAAAACAGUCUACUAGCGUGACAAUCAGUUUCGUUUCUUCUCCAGCUCGAUGAAAUACUGCCAAGAGCAUACUAGCAUAAGCCCCCAAGCACAAACAUCAUGCAUGGCACCAUUUAAAUACCAAGCCAGGCCAUUUCCAAGAAAGUCUAUGAUUCAAAAAAAAAAAAAAAACAAACAAAAAA